This 1274-nucleotide ribosomal RNA is filed under the name Gadus macrocephalus (Pacific cod). RNAcentral's name for it is "partial 16S ribosomal RNA". It matches the Rfam family "Bacterial large subunit ribosomal RNA", at positions 594 to 2574 of the family's 2925-position model. Lineage: Eukaryota; Metazoa; Chordata; Actinopteri; Gadiformes; Gadidae. The record is from RNAcentral.
UUUCUACUCGUACCUUUUGCAUCAUGAUUUAGCAAGAAAACUACAAGCAAAGAGCCCUUUAGUUUGUAACCCCGAAACUGAGCGAGCUACUCCAAGACAGCCUAUAAAGGGCAAACCCGUCUCUGUGGCAAAAGAGUGGGAAGAGCUUUGAGUAGAGGUGACAAACCUACCGAGCCCAGUUAUAGCUGGUUGCCUGUGAAAUGAAUAGGAGUUCAGCCCUUUAAGUCUUUCCCCCCUCACCCAUGCUUACGCUAAAAUUGAUUAAGGAAACUAAAGGCGUUAAUCAAAAGGGGUACAGCCCUUUUGAUAGAAGAAACAACUUUAACAGGUGACCCAAGAUCAUAUUACCCAAGGAUUUCAAAUUAAGUGGGCCUAAAAGCAGCCAUCUUAUCAGAAAGCGUUAAAGCUCAAAUUAGCCUAUAUCCUCAUAUACUGAUAUUACAUCUCCCUCCCUGCCCCUUAMCAGGCUGUCUUAUGCCCCCAUAAGAACAAUUAUGCUAAAAUGAGUAAUAAGAAGAAUUUAAUUCUUCUCCUAGCACAUGUGUAAGUCGGAACGGACCUCCCACCGACUAUUAAUCGACCCCAAACCCAGAGGGUAAUAGGUCAAAAAAACAAGAAAAACACCUAUUUUAUAUCGUUAACCCCACACAGGUGUGCCUAAAGGAAAGACUAAAAGAGAAGGAAGGAACUCGGCAAACACAAGCCUCGCCUGUUUACCAAAAACAUCGCCUCUUGCUCCAAAAAUAUAAGAGGUCCCGCCUGCCCUGUGACUAUAAGUUUAACGGCCGCGGUAUUUUAACCGUGCGAAGGUAGCGUAAUCACUUGUCUUUUAAAUGAAGACCUGUAUGAAUGGCAUCACGAGGGCUUAGCUGUCUCCCAUCUCCAGUCAAUGAAAUUGACCUCCCCGUGCAGAGGCGGGGAUAAUUACAUAAGACGAGAAGACCCUAUGGAGCUUUAGACCUAAAGUAAGUCACGUUUAACAUGCUGUGAUAACAGUAAAAACUUAGUGAUAUUUACUGAAGUGUCUUUGGUUGGGGCGACCGCGGGGUAAAACACAACCCCCAUGUGGACCGGGGAUAUUAUCCCUAAUACUCAGAGCCUCUACUCCAAGUAACAGAAAUUCUGACUUUUCUGAUCCGGUAUAACCGAUCAACGAACCGAGUUACCCUAGGGAUAACAGCGCAAUCCCCUCUCAGAGCCCAUAUCGACGAGGGGGUUUACGACCUCGAUGUUGGAUCAGGACAUCCUAAUGGUGCAGCCGCUAUUAAGGGUCG